GCAAGUCGAACGGUAACAGGGAAGAGCUUGCUCUUUCGCUGACGAGUGGCGCACGGGUGCGUAACGCGUAUACAAUCUGCCUUUAAGCGGGGAAUAGCCCAUGGAAACGUGGAUUAAUACCCCAUAGUAUGUAGACUUCACCUGGAGACUACAUUAAACAUUUAUGGCUUAAAGAUGAGUAUGCGUCCUAUUAGUUAGUUGGUAAGGUAACGGCUUACCAAGACCGCGAUAGGUAGGGGUCCUGAGAGGGAGAUC
Molecule: ribosomal RNA, 255 nt
Filed under: uncultured bacterium
Lineage: Bacteria
Description: partial 16S ribosomal RNA
Rfam family: Bacterial small subunit ribosomal RNA
Source: RNAcentral